GAUGAAGAACGUAGCGAAAUGCGAUAAGUAAUGUGAAUUGCAGAAUUCAGUGAAUCAUCGAAUCUUUGAACGCACAUUGCGCCCGCCAGUAUUCUGGCGGGCAUGCCUGUUCGAGCGUCAUUACAACCCUCAGGCCCCCGGGCCUGGCGUUGGGGAUCGGCGGAAGCCUCCUGUGGGCACACGCCGUCCCUCAAAUACAGUGGCGGUCCCGCCGCAGCUUCCAUUGCGUAGUAGCUAACACCUCGCAACUGGAGAGCGGCGCGGCCAUGCCGUAAAACACCCAACUUCUGAAUGUUGACCUCGAAUCAGGUAGGAAUACCCGCUGAACUUAAGCAUAUCAAUAAGCGGAGGA
This 352-nucleotide unclassified non-coding RNA is filed under the name soil metagenome. RNAcentral describes it as "partial contains 5.8S ribosomal RNA, internal transcribed spacer 2, and large subunit ribosomal RNA". The stretch from base 1 to 120 matches the Rfam family "5.8S ribosomal RNA", at positions 35 to 154 of the family's 154-position model. The record is from RNAcentral.